GGAUUACAUUUGUUUAUUAUAUGUUUGUGUAUAAACGAAUUUCCAUCCCAGGGCGAUUUAUAAUUAAUUUCGAUUAUGAAAUCGUACCUUGAGCAUACAUGGUAGGACCCGAAAGAUGGUGAACUAUGCCUGAUCAGGUUGAAGUCAGGCGAAACCCUGAUGGAAGACCGAAGCAGUUCUGACGUGCAAAUCUAUUGUCAGAAUUGGGUAUAGGGGCGAAAGACCAAUCGAACCAUCUAGUAGCUG
Molecule: ribosomal RNA, 246 nt
Filed under: Sergentomyia sp.
Lineage: Eukaryota; Metazoa; Arthropoda; Insecta; Diptera; Psychodidae
Description: partial large subunit ribosomal RNA
Rfam family: Eukaryotic large subunit ribosomal RNA
Source: RNAcentral